RNAcentral lists this ribosomal RNA (305 nucleotides) under uncultured bacterium. RNAcentral's name for it is "bacterial SSU rRNA". It matches the Rfam family "Bacterial small subunit ribosomal RNA", at positions 338 to 658 of the family's 1533-position model. The record is from RNAcentral.
CCUACGGGACGCAGCAGUGGGGGAUAUUGCACAAUGGGGGAAACCCUGAUGCAGCGACGCCGCGUGGACGAAGAAGUAUUUCGGUAUGUAAAGUCCUAUCAGCAGGGAAGAAGAAAUGACGGUACCUGACUAAGAAGCCCCGGCUAACUACGUGCCAGCAGCCGCGGUAAUACGUAGGGGGCAAGCGUUAUCCGGAUUUACUGGGUGUAAAGGGAGCGUAGACGGCAGCGCAAGUCUGGAGUGAAAUCCCAUGGCUUAACCAUGGAACUGCUUUGGAAACUGUGCAGCUGGAGUGCAGGAGAGGU